RNAcentral lists this ribosomal RNA (915 nucleotides) under uncultured bacterium. RNAcentral's name for it is "bacterial SSU rRNA". It matches the Rfam family "Bacterial small subunit ribosomal RNA", at positions 26 to 898 of the family's 1533-position model. The record is from RNAcentral.
AGAACAAACGCUGGCGGCGUGCCUAACACAUGCAAGUCGUACGAGAAAGGGUCCUUCGGGACCUGAGUAAAGUGGCGCACGGGUGAGUAACGCGUGGAUAAUCUGCCCUUCAGUUGGGAAUAACUCAUCGAAAGGUGGGCUAAUACCGAAUAAUACUGUGAGACCUUGGUCGAUCAGUCAAAGAGAGCCUCUGCUUGCAUGCCCUCGCUGAAGGAUGAGUCCGCGUACCAUUAGCUAGUUGGUAGGGUAAUGGCCUACCAAGGCGACGAUGGUUAGCUGGUCUGAGAGGAUGAUCAGCCACACUGGAACUGAGACACGGUCCAGACUCCUACGGGAGGCAGCAGUGAGGAAUCUUGCGCAAUGGGGGCAACCCUGACGCAGCAACGCCGCGUGAGUGAGGAAGGUCUUCGGAUCGUAAAGCUCUGUCAGAUGGAAAGAACCGCAUAGGGGUGAAUAUCUCCUAUGUCUGACGGUACCAUCAAAGGAAGCACCGGCUAACUCCGUGCCAGCAGCCGCGGUAAUACGGGGGGUGCAAGCGUUGUUCGGAAUUAUUGGGCGUAAAGAGCGUGUAGGCGGCCGGAUGUGUCAGAUGUGAAAGCCCUGGGCUUAACCCAGGAAGUGCAUUUGAAACUGUCCGGCUUGAGUAGGGGAGAGGGGGAGAGAUUUGGAAUCCUGGUGGGUAGAGGUGUAAAAUCUCGUAAGAUUAUCAGGGAGGAACACCGGUGGCGAGGGCGACUUCCUGGCCCUAUACUGACGCUGAGACGCGAGAGCGUGGGUAGCAAACAGGAUUAGAUACCCUGGUAGUCCACGCCGUAAACGAUGUUCACUAGGGGUUGGGGGUAUUGACCCCCCUCAGUGCCGGGAGCUAACGGCAUUAAGUGAACCGGCCUGGGGGAGUACGGUCGCAAGACUAAA